Molecule: long non-coding RNA, 8312 nt
Organism: Gorilla gorilla gorilla (western lowland gorilla)
Lineage: Eukaryota; Metazoa; Chordata; Mammalia; Primates; Hominidae
Exons: 4
Source: RefSeq, a predicted model, not a curated record
GGACCAGUCCAGCUCACAAGUAUGAAGAGAAUGUCGGGAGAGGAAGUGGUGGCUAUGAGUCAGCAUGAGUCAUCUCGUUCCAAUGAGAAUGAAGGCUGAGGUGUGCGCCUUUUUUUUUUUUCCUUCUUAGUCGUGUGUACAUCAUUGGGAAUGGAGGGAAAUAAAUGACUGGAUGGUCGCUGCUUUUUAAGUUUCAAAUUGACAUUCUAGACAAGCGGUGCCUGAGCCCGUGCCUGUCUUCAGAUCUUCACAGCACAGUUCCUGGGAAGGUGGAGCCACCAGCCUCUCCCUGACAAGCAAAGUGGAUCAGCAAAGGCUGCAGUCACCAGCAUCUUUUCCAACCUUAAUGAACUGUAUCCUCAAAAGAACACUAUCAGACUGGCUCUGCCGACUUCCAGUUCUGGAACAAGAUGGUUAAACUCAUUUUUCCCUGCUCUGCUCCUCUAAAUACAACUAAGUACCUUGGAAACUAUUCAGCAGACAAUGAUAAAGGGCUCUGAAACCUAGAAGAAAAGGUGUACUUGCAAGAAACCUCAGGACUUGAGUAACAGCAACAUGGCACUGCCACUGGAGCCCUUGUACAGCGAUCCUAUGACUUGUCAGCUCAGUCAAUUGCUCUGACUCUUACUGCUUUCAUUUAUGAAAUGGAGACAAUAACCCCUCUCUCAUAGGAAGGGUAAGACCAGAAGAGCCUACACUAUGGUUGGAAUAAUAUUUGUAUACAGUGAUCAAGAGAGUGUUCUCUGAAACCAGACUCUCUUUAAAUCUUACCUCUAUCACUUAUUAGUUAUAUGGCUAGCUGUUACAUGAGGUCAAAAGAAUGUGUUCUUCAUAAAACUAUACAGAAGAUUAAAUUAAUUAAAACAUGUACAGCCCUUUUAAAAAAGAUCAAGUGAAACAGCAUACAUGAAAGUGCUUUCAGCACGCUGAGAAUAACAAUAGCAAUGGCUAGAGAUUAUUGAGCACACCCCACUGCCAGCACCAGGGAACUUUGUACCUACAACUUUUUACUUAGUCCACAUAAUCAUGAAUUCAUCUCAUUUAUGUAGACCGGAAAACAAAAGCCUAGAGAAGUAAUUUGCCCAAAGACAUAGCUUACAAAGCAAUAGAAUCCAGGUCUGGACUCUUGGGAUCUGACUGUGUUCUAAUGCCUCCCAGAGAAAGUAGGCUAGAGAGGGCAGGAAUAGCUUGACUUAGAGAUCACUUCCACUGGCACGGUGGGUACAAUUUGAUGUGGGAGGCUCUGGGUGCAGCCUGUGAUGGCAGAAUGGAGGAGCCAAGAGUCAUUCUUGGUCUCAUUGUCACUGCCUUCAAACUAACAAGUUGCCUGAGAGCUAAGGUUCCAUUUGAUAGGACACCGGGUGGGAUGUGCAUCAGAAUAUCCAUUUCCUUGAAGGAUCCAAUGAUUAGGCUGAGGCAAAAUAUUUUAGACCAUUCCCAGGUCUAAAAAUAACUCCAUCAUCACCUCUAAUAAGGACUCAGUCUGGAGUGACGUCACUCUUUCAGGUGCAGAAAAGGAAAGCAUGACUGUGUGUCACUGACUUAAAAUAGGAGUGAGGCGAGAGGGGCAGCUGGGCUCAUGGACGUCAAGCGGACAGUUUCUCAGCGGUAUUUCCUAUAUUUCCUGUUUUGGACAGCAGGUUCCUGCCCUUCUAAGCUGGGGGUAGGGGUGAGGGAGAGUAUGUUAAAAAGCUCUGUGGACUUGCUUUUUCUCUUCUCCAUGUGUGUUCUUUUCAUCAAUAAUCUGCGUUCAUCUUUACUGGCUGUUCAUGCAUUAUCCGGAGAUAUGCUAGUUACAGAAAUUAAAACAGGCAACUCUUCCUAUUUCUCCCUAGCUUUACACUACAGAUCCAUGAAGUUUUCUUGACUGUCCCUGCCUAGGGUACAACAAGGAAACCACUAUUUGGAUAAUUCCCCUGAUUCCAUGGUACUGUGGAAGUGGUGGGCUCUCCAUAUGUCAGGGUAUUCUAUGUCUAUGAAAAGGUAUUUCUUUUGAGACCAAGGGUGGACUGGAGUCUAAGAGUCUACCAAUUUUUAAAAUAAUUUAGCUAUAUUUAAGUCAAUAAAUUGUAUUCAAGGCUGACUUUGUAGUGAUUUAUUCCAUGAAUUAUUUCAUUCAAAAUAAUUUUGAAAGGACUUCUGGUCCAGACAAAAUAGCAUAGAUCCAUUUCUCUCUUCUCUCCUCUCAGUUAAAUGCAAUUAUAAAGUCUAGAAAUAAUGCAAGAGGUAACCAAAGGAGAACUCUGAAAGAUGGAAACAGAAAGAGGAAUUAGUUAGGGACCCUAAGACUGGAGGAACAAUAGAGGUAGGAUAUCUUACCAUCACCGCAUCCAACAAGAGAAGGUGACCUAGGCCUGGUAUUACCUGAUCCCAACUUGGCACCAAAAUACAGCCAACAUAGACUCAUUCCUCCUGCUUCCUGGUGAGCCUGGUAUUCUCCUCCACUUCCACUGACAGACAUGUAGGGUGACUGGGUGGUACCAACAAUGGGAACCACAUCAUAACAGGCAGCCUAGUUUGGGAAGCACUCUUGGUCUCCAUAGGCCUGAGACUCCUUUUGCCCAUCUAGAGGCACCAGGUGGCCCAGCCCAUGGAAAUUCCCUCAGCCCCAGAAAGGGGCACCAGAAAGGACCAGUGGGAGCUCCAGUAGGCUAUAAUAGUAUGAAGGCUCUGAAAUGAAGUUGCCACUGGACCUACAGCCCACUAAACUAGGCUAGGACCUUAGGUGAUAGCCUGAAAAAAAAAAGAUCCAGGGUCUUUUAACAUAAAAAACAGGAUGUGCAAAUACAAUGAAAAAACACACAUUAUACCAAGGACUAGGAAAACUACCUAAAUGAGAAAAGACAAGUGACACCAACAUUGAGAUGAAUCAGAUAGUGGAACUGUCUGACAGACUUUAAAACAGCCAUUAUAAAAAUGUUUCAGAAAGCAAUUACAAAUUCUGUUGAAACAAAUGAAGGAAUAGAAAAAUCUCAGUGAGGAAAUAGAAAUUGUGAAAGAAGAACCAAGUGGAAAUUAUAGAAUUAAAAAAUAUAACAAUAGAAAUUUUAAAAAAAUUACUGGAUUCUACUCAAUAGUAGAAUGGAUAUGACAGAGGAUAGAAUCAGUGAAAUUGAGGAAAGAACAAUAUAAAUCCCCCAGUCUGAAUAACAGAGAGAAAAUAGACUGAAAAGCUCUACCGUGAAUGAUAACUUUGAUCACAAACUAGUAGUAUUAACCACGUGGAAGAGGAGUUGCUAAAUCAACUUAAGAGAACAAAUAGUUUUAGGUGAGUGACAAAUAAUUGGAAAAUUAAAAAGUUAAAUGAUGUCAUGUAUAAUAACAUCAACAUACAGAGAAAUAAAUCUAAUAAAAUGUAAUUAAAAACUAUAAAAUCAUUGUGAAGAGGCAUUAAAAGAAUCCAAAAUAUAUAUUCAUGGAAUAAAAGACAAUAUUUUUAUAGUCAGUUCUGUCCAAAUUGACCUAUAGAGUCAGUACAAUUUUACAACAAAUUUUAGUGGAAUUUUGUUUAUUUUAUUUGAGGAAUAAAGUUUAUAUUUUAUUUGGAAAUUUAAAGGACUGAAACAAUCUUGAGCAAGAACAUUUGUUAAGACUUAUUCUGAAGCUUUAGCAAAUAAGACAGUGUGAGAUACACACAAGCAUAGACAAAUAGACCAAUGAAACAGAAAAGAGAGUACUAGAAAACAGACCACGCAUAUUCAGUCAGUUGAUUUAUGACAAAAGCAAUACUGCCAUGCAAUUGGAAUAGGACAGAUAAUGUUUGUAUAAAUGUUGCAGGGUCAGUUGGAUCUUCAUACUUAAAAAAAAUGAAUCUUGACUCUACCUCACACCACACACACAAAUCAAUCAGAUAGAAUGUAGAUCUAAAAGUGAAAGGCAAAAUAAUAAAACUUCUAAAAGAUAACAUAAGAGAAUAAUUUAUGACCUUGGAGUAAAAUCUUUUCAAAUGUAAUACAAAAUGUACUAAGCACAAAGGAAAAGAUUGAUGAAUUGGACUUCAUUAAAACUAAGAACUUCUGCCCAGGUGCGAUGGCUCACACCUGUAUUCCAAGCACUUGGGGAGGCCAGGAAGGGAAGAUCCCUACAAAAUAUUUAAAAAAUUAGCCAGGUGUGGUGGCACACCCUUGUGGUCCCAGCUACUCAAGAGGCUGAGGUGCAAGAAUUGCUUGAGUCCAGGAGUUUGAGGCUGCAGUAAGCCCUGUUUGCACAACUGCACUCCAAAAAUAAUAAAAAUAAAAUACAUAAAUUUUUAAAACCUAAGAACUUCUGUUUAUCAAAAGACACCAUUAAGAGAGUGAAGAAGCAAGCCCUUGAGUAAGAGAAGAUAUUUGCAAAUCAUAAACCCAAUAAAGGGUCGGUAUCUAGAAUAUUUAAAGAAUUUCCAUGAGUCAUUAAUAACCCAAUAGAAAACAUGGGCAUAAGAUUUGAACAAGCACUUCACGAAAGAGGCUUUGUAAUUUUCUAAUAAAUGCUAGCAAGGAAGUGCAAAUUCAAGUCAUAAGGAGAUAACCUCUACAGAGCCACCAGAGUUGUCCAAAAUGACAGACUAAUAAUACUAAGUGCCAGAGAGAAUAUACAGCAACUACAGCUGCCAUCGUCUGGCUGGUGUGAGUGUAAAUUAGUAUAACCACAUUGGAAAACUGGCAGGAUCUACUACAGCUGAGCAUUUGUGUAUCUUAUGACCCAGAAAUUCUACAAAAAUGUUCAUGACUCUCUAGUUAUAGUAACCAAAGACUGGAAACAAUCCAAAUUUCCAUCAACAGUGGAAUGGAUAAGUAUAUCAGGAUGUACUGAGCAAUGAAAUUAAAGGAUCUAAUGCAACAGACAGUAACAUGGAUGAAUGUAAUAAACAUCAUGUUCAGUGAAAGAAGCCAGAAAACCAAGAGGGUACCCUGAUGACUCCAUUUACAUGAAGUUCAAGAACAGACAAAGCUAAUCAAUGGGGUCAGGAGUCAAAGGUGGUAGUUAUUUUGAGUAUGUGACUGGUAGGGGUACAAGUGAGACUUCUGGGGUGUUGGCAAUGUCCUACUUCUUGACCUAGUCAGUGAUUUCUCUGGUUUGCCUCCUUUGUGAAAAUUCAUCAGUGUGUUCUGGUUAUUAUUUGUGUACUUUUCUCUAUGUAUCUUUUACUUCAGUAAAGAGUUUACUGAAAAGAACAUACUUGGGUUUGCAGAGUUGAAAACACCCACAACAUCUUCAUUGCCUCACAAAGACUAUUUUACAUGAUGUUUAAAAACUUUAGAAGCUAAAAUGCUGUUCUUUCAUUCUGAGCUGAUUACAGAUUACAGAUUAGUAAGAAAGUAAGUGGGCUACUUGUUUAAAGAUGGUCUAUGUUAAGUACCCUGAUAUCUUCUUUUGAAAGAGAGGUCAGUCUUCCUUUCAGCAGAGCAUUCUGUUCACCUGCCUGCCCACCUACCUCAUGGACCUUACAGAGCUUGGUUACCCUGACUCUAGGCCUCUCAGCUCUUGUACUGAUCCUCCCAGCUGUCUAUUCCGAUGCCAUGACCCGAUCUGGAGACUAGAGAAGCUAGGCCACAGUCAGCUCUUCCUUGUCACUGUACAACUCACCUGGUGACUUGGUUGUUGUUGUUGUUUUUUUUUUAAUUCCAUGCCGAUGUACCCUGACAUGGAGAACUAAAGACAGAAUUAUUUAGGGAUUUCCUCUCUCUCAUUCUGAAAACGUAUAAAUAGCCUUUGCUGAGUUACUUUCUUAAAAUAACCCUGACAUUUUUUUAAAUGAGCAAAGGGGCUCUAACAUGAAAGGUAGAUAUACUGAAGGAAAGAGCCCUUAAACACAAAGGGCUAGUUUAUUUCAUUAUGAGAUGUCCAGGGCUUUCCAGUCCCUUAAUUCUAUCAAUGAACAGAGUGAGAGGUAACAAUGAGCUGUACAUUUUUUACAAAACCUCUCUGCAUAGUCCCACCAUCUCUCCUUCCCAGUAGGUUGCUGAAAUUAUGUUAAAGUCAGGUGGGGACUUCUAGAAUACCCACUGUAACCCUCUUGUUUGGAUGACAUUGAGGCCAGGGAGGGGAAAAGAACUUGCAAGUUGAGCAGUAAUAACACAGAUCCCACAGGACAGCUGGCAGUGACCCCACAACAGGGAUUUGAAAACAAAGUAAGGUCUUGUUGUUCCCUUGGUUCCUCUUCUUUAUUUCCUACUAUCAAAGUCAGGUUCUAGAAACUUCCCUAGGAGGCGGCAAGAGGCAGUCUCUGCCUACUCCCAGUAGCAAAUUGGCCACAGGAAGUCCUCACUGGGGAUGGACUGGAGGAGAGAGGCAGCUGUGUGGAAAGGGCAAACCUUGAAAACACCGAAGUCCUUGAUUGGGCUUGCAGAAGGAUGUGGCAAAGAGUAAAGACCUUGAGAUCUGGAGGCACAACUCAUAGGUUCAAAUCUUUUUUUUUCUUUUUUUUUUUUUUUUCUGAAGUGGAGUCUUGCUUUGUUGCCCAGGCUGGAGUGCAGUGGCGCGACCUUGGCUCACUACAAGCUCCACCUCCCAGGUUCAUGCCAUUCUCCUGCCUCAACCUCCCGAGUAGCUGGGACUACAGCACCACUACGCCCAGCUUAUUUUUUGUAUUUUUUAGUAGAGACGGGGUUUCACUGUGUUAGCCAGGAUGGUCUCAAUCUCCUGACCUCGUGAUCUGCCCGCCUCGGCCUCCCAGAGUGUAGGGAUUACAGGCAUAAGCCACUGCGCACAGCCCGUAGGUUCAAAUCUUACCUGCACCUCUUAACCUCUUAGGGCCUCAGUGUCCUCUACUUGUGAAGUAGGGAUAACAGUCAUAUUCACUUCCUGGUUUUGCUGUGCAAAAUGAAUAGCAUGUGAUGCUGAGGCACUGUAAGUCGUGAGGGCAGAUGAUCACCCGCUUUAGGAGCCAUUCUUCCAAAAUCUUAGGUGAGUGAAAAAGAAGCAGAGAUAGCUUUUUGUAUUUGCGCAUGGAGGCAGAGUUCAUCUGUUGCCUGAGCUAACAGUAUACUAUUCAGCCCCUAGUGAAACUCUGGCCCCAGGGCAGGACCAACUAACUAGGUAGGGCAGUGAUGAAAAAGGGAGAGUCUUCUCAGUGGAGUCUGGUCUGGGUAGAGAUGUCAAAGGCAAACCAUCACCUCCUUGACUUGUUGGCUCUAGGUGAUGAUGCUAACCUGACCUGGAGGGAUAGCCCUUCUAUGGGGUGGGCAGGGGCAGCCAGAGGUGUUCUGAAAACCAGAGAAGUCUCCUCACUGGAAAACAUUUAUUCCUGGGAUCUGUCAGUUGAUGGCAGAAAUGUUCAUUGUUAAAGAGCCAUUUCUUUGGCUUAUUAAUUGGUCCUCUGUUAGCCAGUCAACAAUACUGUACCCAGCACAGAUAUCCUUGAGAAAUGAAGGAGAAAUAAAGUUUUUCCUAGAUAAGCAAAAACUGAUGGAAUUUAUCAUCACUAGACUGACCCUACAAUAAAUGCUUAAGAGAGUCCUACAUCUGGAAGCAAAAGGGCUAUAUUCACCAUCAUGAAAACCCAAAAGUAUAAAACUCAUUGGUAAAGCAGACACACAAAUAAGAAAGAGAAUGGAACCACAUGUUAUCACUACAGAAAACCACCAAACUGCAAAGGUAAACAAAGGAAAGGAAGAAAGGAAGGAAGAAAAAAGAUUAUUUAAAAUAAUCAGAAAACAAUUAAAAUGACAGGAAUAAGACCUCACCUAUCAAUAACAAAUUUUUUAAAUGGCUUAAAUUUCCCAGUUAAAAGAUAUAGACUGGCUGAAUGGAUUUUAAAAGUGACCUAACUCUAUGCUACCUACAAGAAACUAAUUUCACCUGUGGAGACACACAUAGACAGAAACUGAAGGGAUGAAAAAAGAUAUUGCAUGCAAAAAAAACCAAAAGUGUGCAGGAGUAGCAAUACUUACAGCAGACAAAAUAGAUUUUAAGUCAUAAAACAUAGAGAAAAAGAGGUAAUUAUAUAACGAUAAAGGGAUCAUUUGAGUAAGAGGAUAUAACAAUUAUAAAUAUACAUAUGCUCAACACUGGAGCACCCAGAUAUAAAAAGAAAACAUAAUUAGAGCUAAAGAGAGAUAGAUGCUUAUACAAUCAUAGUUUGGACUUUAAAACUCAAUUUUCAGCUUUGGAGAGAUCAUCUAGACAGAAAAUCAACAAGGAAACAUUAGACUUAUACUGCACUAGAGACUAAAUGAAGCUAAUAGACAUUUACAGAACAUUUCAUCCAGUAGCUGCAGAAUCACAUGCUUCUCUCUUCAGUACAUGAAACAUUCUCUAAGAUAGACCAUAUGUUAGGCCACAAAACAAGCCUCAACAAAUUUUUAAUAAUUGAAAUCAUAUCAAAUAUG